RNAcentral lists this ribosomal RNA (777 nucleotides) under uncultured bacterium. RNAcentral's name for it is "bacterial SSU rRNA". It matches the Rfam family "Bacterial small subunit ribosomal RNA", at positions 111 to 881 of the family's 1533-position model. The record is from RNAcentral.
UAACGCGUAGGAAUCUACCUAGUAGAAGGGGAUAGCCCGAGGAAACUCGGAUUAAUACCGUAUACCUCCUUAGGGAGAAAGAGGGCCUCUCUUGAUGCUCUCGCUAUUAGAUGAUAGCCUGCGUAAGAUUAGCUUGUUGGUGAGGUAAUGGCUCACCAAGGCUACGAUCUUUAGCUGGUCUGAGAGGACGAUCAGCCACAUUGGGACUGAGACACGGCCCAGACUCCUACGGGAGGCAGCAGUGGGGAAUAUUGGACAAUGGGCGCAAGCCUGAUCCAGCCAUACCGCGUGUGUGAAGAAGGCUCUAGGGUUGUAAAGCACUUUAAGCAGGGAGAAAAAGUUAUAAGUUAAUACUUAUGACCUUGAUGUUACCUGCAGAAUAAGCACCGGCUAAUUCCGUGCCAGCAGCCGCGGUAAUACGGAAGGUGCAAGCGUUAAUCGGAAUUACUGGGCGUAAAGCGCGCGUAGGUGGUUUGUUAAGUUGGAUGUGAAAGCCCUGGGCUCAACCUAGGAACUGCAUCCAAAACUAACUCACUAGAGUACGAUAGAGGGAGGUAGAAUUCAUAGUGUAGCGGUGGAAUGCGUAGAUAUUAUGAAGAAUACCAGUGGCGAAGGCGGCCUCCCUGGAUCUGUACUGACACUGAGGGUGCGAAAGCGUGGGUAGCGAACAGGAUUAGAUACCCUGGUAGUCCACGCCGUAAACGAUGACAACUAGCUGUUGGGAGACAAUGUCUUUCAGUGGCGCAGCUAACGUUUUAAGUUGCCCGCCUGGGGAGU